UCGCAUUUCAGCAGGUGGAGAGA
RNAcentral lists this non-coding RNA (23 nucleotides) under Rattus norvegicus (Norway rat). Lineage: Eukaryota; Metazoa; Chordata; Mammalia; Rodentia; Muridae. The record is from RNAcentral.